UACGAAGGAUGCAAGCGUUAUCCGGAUUUAGUGGGUUUAAAGGGUGCGUAGGCGGACUUAUAAGUCAGUGGUGAAAUCUCGUUGCUUAACAACGAACGUGCCAUUGAUACUGUAGGUCUUGAGUACAGAUGCCGUUGGCGGAAUGUGUCAUGUAGCGGUGAAAUGCAUAGAUAUGACACAGAACACCGAUUGCGAAGGCAGCUGACGAAACUGUAACUGACGCUGAGGCACGAAAGCGUGGGGAUCAAACAGG
This 253-nucleotide ribosomal RNA is filed under the name uncultured bacterium. Its description in RNAcentral is "partial 16S ribosomal RNA". It matches the Rfam family "Bacterial small subunit ribosomal RNA", at positions 524 to 776 of the family's 1533-position model. The record is from RNAcentral.